GACGAACGCUGGCGGCGUGCUUAACACAUGCAAGUCGAACGAUGAAGCCUAGCUUGCUAGGUGGAUUAGUGGCGAACGGGUGAGUAAUACGUGAGUAACCUACCUUUAACUCUGGGAUAAGCCUGGGAAACUGGGUCUAAUACCGGAUACGACCAAUCUCCGCAUGGGGUGUUGGUGGAAAGCGUUAUGUAGUGGUUAUAGAUGGGCUCACGGCCUAUCAGCUUGUUGGUGAGGUAACGGCUCACCAAGGCGACGACGGGUAGCCGGCCUGAGAGGGUGACCGGCCACACUGGGACUGAGACACGGCCCAGACUCCUACGGGAGGCAGCAGUGGGGAAUAUUGCACAAUGGGCGCAAGCCUGAUGCAGCGACGCCGCGUGAGGGAUGACGGCCUUCGGGUUGUAAACCUCUGUUAGCAGGGAAGAAGAGAGAUUGACGGUACCUGCAGAGAAAGCGCCGGCUAACUACGUGCCAGCAGCCGCGGUAAUACGUAGGGCGCGAGCGUUGUCCGGAAUUAUUGGGCGUAAAGAGCUUGUAGGCGGUUUGUCGCGUCUGCUGUGAAGGCCGGGGCUUAACUCCGUGUAUUGCAGUGGGUACGGGCAGACUAGAGUGCGGUAGGGGAGACUGGAAUUCCUGGUGUAGCGGUGGAAUGCGCAGAUAUCAGGAGGAACACCGAUGGCGAAGGCAGGUCUCUGGGCUGUAACUGACGCUGAGAAGCGAAAGCAUGGGGAGCGAACAGGAUUAGAUACCCUGGUAGUCCAUGCCGUAAACGUUGGGCACUAGGUGUGGGGAACAUUCCACGUUUUCCGCGCCGUAGCUAACGCAUUAAGUGCCCCGCCUGGGGAGUACGGCCGCAAGGCUAAAACUCAAAGAAAUUGACGGGGGCCCGCACAAGCGGCGGAGCAUGCGGAUUAAUUCGAUGCAACGCGAAGAACCUUACCAAGGCUUGACAUAUACUGGACCGCAUCAGAGAUGGUGUUUCCCUUCGGGGCUGGUAUACAGGUGGUGCAUGGUUGUCGUCAGCUCGUGUCGUGAGAUGUUGGGUUAAGUCCCGCAACGAGCGCAACCCUCGUUCUAUGUUGCCAGCACGUAAUGGUGGGGACUCAUAGGAGACUGCCGGGGUCAACUCGGAGGAAGGUGGGGAUGACGUCAAAUCAUCAUGCCCCUUAUGUCUUGGGCUUCACGCAUGCUACAAUGGCCGGUACAGAGGGUUGCGAUACUGUGAGGUGGAGCUAAUCCCUAAAAGCCGGUCUCAGUUCGGAUUGGGGUCUGCAACUCGACCCCAUGAAGUCGGAGUCGCUAGUAAUCGCAGAUCAGCAACGCUGCGGUGAAUACGUUCCCGGGCCU
RNAcentral lists this ribosomal RNA (1347 nucleotides) under uncultured bacterium. Its description in RNAcentral is "bacterial SSU rRNA". It matches the Rfam family "Bacterial small subunit ribosomal RNA", at positions 28 to 1381 of the family's 1533-position model. The record is from RNAcentral.